GUCUAAUUAGUUUAUUGCAAAACAUCAAGCUUGUAACUUGAAAAAGGAAAAACCAUUUGACA
Molecule: transfer RNA, 62 nt
Filed under: Xibalbanus tulumensis
Lineage: Eukaryota; Metazoa; Arthropoda; Remipedia; Nectiopoda; Speleonectidae
Description: tRNA-Thr
Source: RNAcentral